AGAUUGAACGCUGGCGGCAUGCCUAACACAUGCAAGUCGAGCGGCAGCGCGGGGGCAACCCUGGCGGCGAGCGGCGGACGGGUGAGUAAUGCAUCGGAACGUAUCCUUGAGUGGGGGAUAACGCAGCGAAAGUUGUGCUAAUACCGCAUAAGCUCUGAGGAGGAAAGCGGGGGACCGAAAGGCCUCGCGCUGAAGGAGCGGCCGAUGUCCGAUUAGCUGGUUGGUGGGGUAACGGCCCACCAAGGCGACGAUCGGUAGCUGGUCUGAGAGGAUGAUCAGCCACACUGGGACUGAGACACGGCCCAGACUCCUACGGGAGGCAGC
Molecule: ribosomal RNA, 324 nt
Filed under: uncultured prokaryote
Description: bacterial SSU rRNA
Rfam family: Bacterial small subunit ribosomal RNA
Source: RNAcentral